This 475-nucleotide ribosomal RNA is filed under the name uncultured bacterium. RNAcentral describes it as "bacterial SSU rRNA". It matches the Rfam family "Bacterial small subunit ribosomal RNA", at positions 373 to 848 of the family's 1533-position model. The record is from RNAcentral.
GGACGCAAGUCUGAUCCAGCCAUGCCGCGUGAAGGAUUAAGGCCCUCUGGGUUGUAAACUUCUUUUAUAGGGGACGAAAAAAGGGCUUUCUAGCUCGACUGACGGUACCCUAUGAAUAAGCACCGGCUAACUCCGUGCCAGCAGCCGCGGUAAUACGGAGGGUGCAAGCGUUAUCCGGAUUCACUGGGUUUAAAGGGUGCGUAGGCGGGCAGUUAAGUCAGUGGUGAAAUCUUCGAGCUCAACUCGGAAACUGCCAUUGAUACUAUCUGUCUUGAAUAUUGUGGAGGUGAGCGGAAUAUGUCAUGUAGCGGUGAAAUGCUUAGAUAUGACAUAGAACACCAAUUGCGUAGGCAGCUCGCUACACAAAUAUUGACGCUGAGGCACGAAAGCGUGGGGAUCAAACAGGAUUAGAUACCCUGGUAGUCCACGCCCUAAACUAUGAUUACUCGACAUAUGCGAUACACUGUAUGUGUCU